GUUUGCUGAGAGUGUCCCAUAUGUGUUCACACAACGGGAUGUAAAUAGAGAUGGUGUUAUAAACGUUAAGGAAAUGCCUUUAAAAAGAGGAAGAGGUGCCCUUCUUUCUCACUUCCUGCUUGCUGGAAUGCAGCUGUAAUGAGUGGAGGUCCAGCAGCCAUUUUGGACCAUGAGUCGGCUUUGGGAAUGCAUGGUAGGAUAAUAAGAUGGAAGGAACAUGGCUCCUUGACCCUGUGGGAUGGCACACCAGCCCAGUAUUUCCUGUUGCUGGACUUCUCAAAAGUAAGAGAAGAAUAAAACUUACCUUAAGACGCUAUUUUUAGGGGCUUUGUUUUCCUCAAAGCUGAACCCAACCUCAAUCAAUACUGGUGUCAAAAUGGAACUUUCUCCUCUGUCCUCCCGGCCAGAGCCUGGCUGUGUCCGUGCUGAAGUGAGGACCAUGUGUCCCUCCCCAGCUCUGCUGCCCACCGUUUCCCUUGGGCUCCCCAGCAGAAGGUCCCCAGCUUCCCAGUGCAGCGCUGCUCGCUGCUGUCUGUUUCUCCUCUGGCAACGCGUUAUUCUGGCCUUCUCAUACUUCGCCGAACACAGGAAUCCCACUGGGGCUUGGUCAAGUGCAGGUUCUGACUCAGCAAGUCUGCAGGUGGGGCUGGAGAGUCUGCAUUUCUAACAAGUUUUCAGUUGGUGUUGCAGACCAUGAUUUGAAAACUAAGCUGUUGGGAUGCUCGCCUGCGAGCUUCUUGAAGGCACGGACCAUGUGGAAGUCACCUGUUUCCACGAUGCUUGGCACAUAACAGGUGCUCAGUGUGUGCAGAAGACUGACCGAGUGGUCGGCAGUUAGUGCGCCAGAUGCCCAGGCGUCCUGCAGAGAGGAGCCGCCGCUCUCUUUACUGUGCGUGUCUCAAAUUCAUCUUCACUGGAGCCCUAUCUUCAGACAUGCUGUCAACAUCCUGUGGAAAUCGUGCUCUGAGAAACCCACUUGGCGGACUCUGAUUUUGGGAGGUCUCUGCGACCCUGUGACAGUGCGAGCCAGUCUCCAUAUGGGAGUCUCGGUGCCAGGAUUCUGUUUGGGUGUCUGCUUCAGCAAUCAGGAGAAAUUGUUUCAGCCCAGACUCCCUGUACCCCCCAGGGCCUGCAAACUCCUUGAAGGGACAUAUUAAAUAUAUUAAAAUAUAGGAGCCAGUGCAAUUACUAAGGUGUUCAUCUUUCCUCUUCCUCGGCAGUGCCCAUCAGGCCUAUGACCCCCUCAGGGCCAUGGGAGCCUGAGUUGUUUGCCAGUUAGCAUGUUCCUGUGGAUUUGUUCAAAUGUGUGUGUUCCCAGGCUGAGCCCCGGCGGAAGUGCCGGGGAGGAAGCUGAAGGAGUCUGAAGCUGGGGAAAAGGCUGCACCUCCUCCAGGGAUGAGGCUGCUGAGGUGAAGCCUGGAGCUGUUUCCUGUAAGAGGAGCCUGCUGGGCUCUGGGGGGGCUGCCUUUGCCAGCUUCAAGGGAAGGAGGGCAGCCGGGAGCUGGGGCUUUGUCAUCCCUCUGCGGGAGCAUCCUCAGAAAUGCAGGCCUGGCUGUCUGCUCAGGAGCCCUAAGGGUGGCCUGUAGCCCCCAAGGGGUCGAAUUCGCUGGUUCUAGUCAUGGGGUCUACACAGUGCAUCCCUUGGACUAGAACUUGGACAUCUAGCCCUUUGUCCUCAUUUCGGGUCUUCCCAUCAACUCUGGAUCCAUAGGGACAAUCCUACUCAACAUCCUCUUAUGUGUGUCAGAAGAUACGGCCCCUAGGAAGCCACAGGAGUAGAGGGACAGGCAUUCUUUAAAGCGCCACAGAAUGAGAUUUUAAAAAAAGAUUAAAUGAAAAGGGAAUUAAUGAGAAAAGGAAACACUCACUGUAAGAGAAACUAAAAAUGUAAUCACAGAAUUAAAACUCACCAUUAAUCCCUUGGUGAGAUUAAAGAGCAGAAUUGGUACUGUAAAAUAUUAAAUCAGUGCUGUAGAGGUCAAGGUUGAAAAAUCUCAUCAAAAGUGUAGGGAAAAAGAAAAAGAAGUUGAAAUGACGAGAGGAAAGUGUAUAGGUAUGGAGAUCAGAGAAGAAGGCAGUGCCAGCAGGCACUCGAUGCUUCUGAGGGUGAGUGGAGAGAAGCGCCCCCAACAGGUGAGAGAGGACCACACUAAUCCUGAGUGUGAGGCUGGGAAGGGAGAAACGCGUGCCAGGCAAACAUCGCUGAAAAUGGACAGAUACCCAGGCACCUCACCAAAAGAAUCAGGAUUUAAAAAAUCCUGCAAGUAUAUACGCAGAAUAAAGAGGAAACCCAUGAAGGAAGAAAAAUCAGCCUGGCUUCAAACUCUUAUUGCUCUCACGUCCAAAGGAGGACGUCUGCAGCAUUUUCAGGAGAAUAAAGAAAAUAUUGUGAUCCAAUAAUUGGAUGCCCCACCAAGGUACAUUUAAUGGACCUUAUACUAAUGUUCUCAGGAAGGAGACCUCAAAUAUUUAAGGUUUAAAAACACCCUUUACCCUUUUGAACAAGGAUCUUGGAGAAGUAUUCAAGACCGUCACGAAAUGAAGCGAAUUUAAGAACUGAGAGUGGAGAAGCCGCGUACAAAGGGACAGGGGUAAGUGCCUGUUAGAGAAAAUCUAAGAAGUUGUAAAUGUGGUACAAAAUUUAAUGGAAGUUAAAAAGAUUCUCAAAGAGGCAAGAGGACUUAGGAAAUACUGACUUUCUCUUGCCUGAUAUUUAGAAAAAAUAUGGGUUAAAGAAUACUUUCAAAAAAAUUAAAAAUAAACUGUUGAAAUAUAGAUAGAAUAUAUAUAAUAUAUAAAUAUACAUAAUAUGGAGUGCAUUUAAUGUAUAAUUACAUAACAUACAAUGUAAUAUGUAUGUAUGUAUACACACACACACGCUCUCUCUCUCUCUUUCUAGGGAAGAUAAAAAGCAAAGACUACGUGGUCCAUACACCAAACAGUAAACACUAGAAAGAACAGGAAAGAACUAAAAUAUUCUUUAGGUGAUAGAUACAAUACUAAAUAUCUGUCAAAUAAUUAAUGUAAAUGCGUUACAUUUCGUUAUUUUAAGAAAUAAACUCUUGGACUGUGCGCUGCCUAGAAAAGAAACUUUCAAACAAAGCGAGACAGGAAUGUAAGAAGCACACGGGGCCCAGCAGCCCCACUCCCGGGCGGUCACCUAAAGGAACCGAGAGCAGGGACGCGAACGGACUCUUGUACACCGAUGCUAAGAGUUGCGUUGUUCGCAAUAGCAAAAGGUGGAAACAAUCCAAGUGUCCACCAACAGAUGAAUAAAUAAACCAAAUGUGGUGCACAUGUGCAAAGGAACAUUAUUCAGCCAUGAAAAGGAAUGAAGUUCCGACACAUGCUACAUGGGUGAAGCCUGAGCACAUUAUGCUCAGUAAGAGAAGCCCAAUACAAAAGGAUAAAUGUUGUAUGAUUCCAUUUAUAUGAGGUGCUUAGACUAAGCAAAUUCCUAGAGACAGAAAGUUGAUUAGAAGUUAACCAGCAGAUUUGUUGUUUGGUAGGUCCUUUAAGCUGGUUCCUGUGUCCUUUUGACUCGUCUCUGUCAUUCUUUGAGUACUUCUUGCUUUCUAGAAUGACAAGAUGUACUUUCCCCUUCUAAACCCUGGAGUCAGCUAUUUCUCCAAGGAGUCCUUGUCCCUUUCAGUGGAGAAUGGUGUUUAGAGCCCACAUCUGGGCACAAGUUGUGCUCAUUGCUACGGUGUCACUGCUCCCAGCCCCUUUCAGUAGAAUUAGUGAAUUAGCUUGGCCUCCCAACCGUGGAGUUUGCAGUGGCUCUCCCUCUGCUGAAUGUGACAGAAAUUGGGGGACAGGCACCAAAGGAGCUUUUUUCUUAACCCCUGUCUGUCCUACAAAUAGAACAAUUUUGACAAAACCCUCCAUUUGAGUCACACCCAAGGGGGACUAAAGCCUCCUAGCUCACUGUUGGCUAUUAAAAUGUCACUUAACUCUCCUACUCACCCUGAGCUCUAGCAGUGGCCUUACUCUUGUCUUGGCUCAACUUUUCUCUCCAUAGUUGACAUUCAUGGGUCUAAGGCAUGGCAGGACCCAGGCCUCCUCCCAGUGAGGGUGGGGGAGUGGGGCAAGUGUCGCCAGGGAGCUCAUGUCCCUCAGCAAGUCCUCAUUCCAAGCAGGGACAAAGAAAGGCAAGAAAUGCCAGCUUUGAAGUUCCUGCUGCUCACUCCCAGGAGAGGGAGCUGCCGCGGCACGGGGGCCUACAGCAGUCAGGGCUGGGAAGAAGCUCUGAUUCUGGAAAUCCAGAGGAAAGCAUGACUUCAGACUCCUUUUCUAAGAAAGGGCCCUUUGCUACCCACAUGGAGUGACCUGUAGACAAGGUUGUUAUUUCUCAUAGAAAUAGUCAGUCCUUCUCUGUCUCUCUUCCUUGUCCCCAGGCCAGAGCAAAGCCCGUAAGUGAUUCCCAGAGAGGAGAGGUCAGGAAAAGGAGUCCUAUGACCUGGGGGGUGGUGCCCUCAGGCCUGGGUCCCCCAGUAGUCAUCAGCCCCUUCCUCCCAUACUUCUGAGGACUUGGAUGUGCUUCUUGCCUCAUCGCCAUUGAUUCAAAUCUGCCCGCUGUGCCUGUUGCUUGGGUCAGAUGGCCAUUUUGAAUUCAGACAUCUCAUACCCUGUAGACAGCAGCCCGUUGUGCCUGUCUUACUCACUCUGUAGCUCGUGGAGUCUCCCUCAGCAGCUUUAUUGAAAUUUAAUACACACCAUACAAUUCACCCAUUUAAAGUGUGUACAAGUCAACAGUUUUUAGUAAAUUCCCAGAUUUGUGCAACUAUCACUAUAGUCAAUAUAAGAACAUUUUCAUCACCUCAAAAAAAGAAACUCUGUACCCUUUAGCUAUCACCUAUGUAUCUCCCCAUCCCCUGGCCCUAAGCAGCCACUAAUCUACUCUCUCUGGCUGUGGAGUUCCCUAUCCUGGACUUUCCUGAGUGGACUCAUGUAGGAUGCGGUCUUCUGUGACCGGCCUGAUUCACUUAGGGUAAGGUUUUCCAGGAUCAUCCAUGUUGUGGGGUGUAGCAGUGCUUUGUUUCUCCCGCUCUUCCCUCGAGGGUGGUGAGCAGGCCAAGGGCGGCUUCACGGAGUGGAAGACUAUCUCCGGAGACCCCCAAGCCCAGGCUCAGGGAGAACGUUGCUUCAUUUCCAGUGGGGCCUGGCUCAUUUCAAGGCAUUUCAUUCACCUCCUCCUUAGGCAGCUGGUGCCCCAGAGACCCGUAACUUCUGGUGCCAAACAGGAACCAACAAAGGCCGUUUGUGAUGGCUGUUGAUGCUGCUUUGAUAGAAUUGACCUCAAAGAAGCCAUUUGAUUUUGGGGUGGUGACGAGUGUGCUUCAUGUGAAUAAAAAGCCACAUGUGCAUGGUUCUUUGGCAGCAGGGGAAGUCCAGACACGCGUGAACGAUUUCUUGAGUGUAGAAGAGAGUCCCGAAUUCGAGGUGACAAGAAUUGCAUUUGAGAAAGUCUUCAGGCUCCACCGGUAAUUCUCAGUGGGGCUUAGCAAGGCGUUUCAAAGACCAGGAAAGGGAAAGUGUAAACACCGGAGCAGCACAAAAUGCAGCCCAAGGACGGCUAGGCCAGGGAUCCUCAGGGCUUCAGGGCAGACGCCGGACGUGGCUUCCAGACCUCUCAAGACCACAAGAGACUGUGCUGUUUGAUUCUCCAAGAUGGCUCUCGGCAUGUUGUUUAAUGUAAUUUACAUACAACAUCACCAAUUUUAAGUGUACAACUCAAUAGUUUUGACAAACGUUUUCAGCCAUGUAACCGUGACCACAAUCAAGAUAUGAAACUUUUCUGUCACGGUAAACACUUUCCUGGGGACUCUUUACAGCCAGUUCCCUUUGCGCGCUCGGUCACUGCAACCGCGGAUGUGCUUCUAGUUGUGCCUGCUGUGGGCUCUGGAUCUGACUCCGUGCUUCGCCCUCAGCUUCGCGUCACAUCCUGCAGUCCUGGCUGCCUCUGCCUCCUUGAACUCUGAUCGACCCCUCAACCCAGUAGGUCUGCUGGUUUCAGCUUGGGUCCCCCUCCUGUGCUGUGGCCUGGAAACUCCCUCAGGAAGGUAGCUGGGACAACUGUGGGCCUCCCCUGGGGACCUUCCUGUAUCAGGAGUCACAGUCCUGGACCCUGGGUCCAAUGGCUGUACAAGAGUUUACCCACUUUGUUUGGUUUUCAGUUGUUUAGGCGAGGAGGACAAUUUCUGUAGCAGCUGACCCUUCGAGAGCAGAAGUGCGAGUGUUCUGACUCCUAGCUGGCUACCUGCCUGAUGAUCGCGUGUUCCCUGGAGCCACCAGAAGAAAGCGCUUCAGGUGCAUUCGGGCAGCUGGCCCCUCCCCUGAGGCAGGUGUUCAGUUUGAGUUAAAAUGGAACAGUUGUGUUUCCGGUUUGAAACUCACUGCCUCCUCGAGGCGUGAAGAAAUAUACAGAUGCCUUUUAGUCAUAAUCAUUCAUUUUGAAGUAAUUUCAAAUUUGGUGAAAAGUUGCAGGACCAGUUGUACAAAGAACUCUCAUGAUUGUCAGCUGUCCCAACAGAGUCUCUGUUCCGUCUCUGCUCCAGGACCAAGCCAGGCCAAUGGGUUGCAUUCAGCAAUCAUGUCUCCUCCGUCUCCUUCGGUCUGGGACAGCCCCUCAGUCUUUUCUGCUCAUGCAAAUCCCCGACAGUUUUAAAGGGGACAGGCCUCUCGUUCUGGGGCAGAUUCCUCAGUCUGAGUCCAGCAAAUCUUCCUAGCCUCCAGACUUGGGCCUUGCUUUCUUGGCAGAAAUCAUGUAAAAAUGACACUAGAUUCUUUCAAUGUACCAUGUCGAGGAGCACACGAUGUCAAUCGUCCCACCACUGUUGAUUUAAUUUUAGUCACCUGCUUACAUUGUUGUCUGCCAACUUUCUCGAUAAAAGCACUGUUUUACCCUUUGUAACCCGUGGGCACAUGUUCUGAGGCCGUGCCAAUAUCCACAGGUGCAUUUUCCAGGGAGUAAACCAUCUGUGAUCUAACUUUGCCCUAAAGAAUAACAACGAUAGGGGCUGCCCCAUGGCCGAGCAGUUGGGUUCAUGCACUCCGCUGUGGCGGCCCGGGGUUUCACUGGUUUGGACCUGGCGCUGCUCCUCAGGCCACACUGAGGUGGCAUCCCGCUUGGUAGAGCUAGAAAGACCUACAACUAGAAUAUACACCUAUGUACUGUGGGGCUCUGGGGAGAAGAAGAAAAAAAAGAGAUUGGCAACAGAUGUUAGCUCAGGGCCAAUCUUUAAAAAAAAAAAAGUGAAUAACAACAAUAGAGCAGGAGCUAUCAUCCAAUGAGCAUCUGUUGUAUGCCAGGCACCACGCCAAGCACAUCACACAUCUUAAUUUAAUCCUCACAUUCUGUGUGUUAGGUACCACUUUCAUUCCCGUCUACAGAUGAGGAAACUAUCUGUGGCGAUGGUUUUGGAGUAGCACACAUCAAUGCUACCUACUCAGUCUCCUUGAGUACUAAAAGAUUUUUUCCACUGAGUGCAAAAAAACUAUAGAAGACGUUAGGCAAGGAAGCGUUAAAGGCACCAAGCAGAAGCGGUUGAAUUUUUCCCUUGUAGCUCUCAGGAUCCUGUUUUUGGCAGCUAAUAACCCAGAGGUUGCAUUUGAGGCUUUAGUAGCUAAUACGCCUUAAAAUCUGCAGGUGUUUUAAAACUGGGUCAAAGACAUUUAUUUAAAGCCACUGAAGUUGUCAAAAAUAAACCCCACUAAACCUCAUUAUUUCUACCCAUGUUAGGUCAGGUCAUGAAAGGAAAAUGAAAGAUAGUGACUAAAAAUGUCAACCCAGUCAAAGCCUUCUGGAAAUUUGCCAGCGCAGCCACCAGCCCCAAAGAGACCUAGAAUAUCAUCUCCACGGAUAAAGAUAAAACCCACCACAGGCAUUAUUAAAAUAUGAGAAUUGAUGGAACAAUUUGGAUACUGGUCAAAAAUUAUGAGACUAAAAUAUUUUCAAAUACCCUUGAGAAAGAAACCAUAAUUUUCUCCCAUAUUAAUUAUAAAUUAAGCACUGUCUAUCAGUCUCUGUUUCAGUUCUUAAUGAGUAUUUUUAUCUGAGUUCAUUUUUAUUAAAUCUCCCUUGGGAGAAGAAUGGUGGAUUUACAGAUAUUUUACCAGGGCCCAUUUAUUAUGGGCCAUUUGCUAUGGUCAUAAAUUUUGCGGUUGAGUGACAACGAGGGAGGAAGGAGAUGAGCAAGAAGUGGAUUGAGGCUGAGAAAUAGGGUGGGAUUAUAAGCGGGCUUGCACAGAGAACAAAGAGCUUUUACAUUUUGAUACAGCUCAAGAUGACCUUAAAAUGGCCUUUGAAUGAAAAUAGCGACAUUCAAAUGGACUGUUUCACUUGUAUGCCUGUUGUAACGGUCCCCCAAGUUCAAAGGGCUUGUGGCAUUCACAGGCAGAAAAGUGUUGGCUCUUUCUGAAGACCCUAAAGGCCCUGGAUCCGAUGCUGUGAGGCUAGCGUGCUGAACCAAAGUCCUGAGCUAGCGCGUGAGCCUGGCGGACUGCCUGCAUCCAAUGCCCACUGGGGUUUGUGUCCUCAAUUCAUCACUUAGCGACAGACUCUACUUAAGUGAUAAAACUUUGUUUUACUUUCUGAUUGUUGUGUGUGUGUAAUCAAUGGAGAGAAAACUUUAAUAAGAUCUUCAAAAGGCAAUUAACUAGUAGUGGGGGUGGGGAGUUGGGAGUACAGAAAAGACCAAUAUCUUGUUGGAAAUGUGGUUCCAGAAGUCAUGAACCUACAUUUCUGAGUUCAUUGUUUUGGUGGUUUGGAAAAGUUUGGAAAGUAUGGCAGAAAUGGCUUAUUUCCCUUUCUUCUGUGUGAUAGAAAUCAGAAGGUUUUUGAGUACAUGGCUGCCCAGAAGGCAGCUGCGUUUCCCAGACUUUGCUGCGGCUGGUGACAGCCGUGUGAUAAAGUUCUGCCCGACGAAAUGUAGGUGAAGUGUGCAGCCUGCCGGUUGUGUUCUUAAAGGGAAGGGCGUGUUCUCCCCUGCCCCUUCCAGCUGGCUGGAAUAUGGUCACGAGGUGAGGCAUCUUGGACCAGGUGGACGAGGGAGUCCCAGAAUGCUAGAGCAACAAGAAAGAGGAAGCCUGGGCCCCUGGCAACCUCACAGCUGAGCUGCCGUACCAGGCGAGACUUUUCCACCCGGGAGAAAUGAGCUUCUCUUUUGUGUAAGCGGCUGUUGUCUGGAUUUCUGAUGCAUGUAUCUGGACCUGUGUCUUAACCAAUCCCGUAGGGAAGCCAAAGAUCGAUUGUGCCCGCUCCCAUGCUCAUCUUCAUCACCCAGCUCUGAGCUCCUGCUGACGCUCUCUCCCCAUGUUUCCCUCCAGUUCCUCAGGGUGGCCCAGAACUGCGCUGGGCCCUGGUGCAGAAUAGGUGCUUGUGAAUAGUUAUUGACUGACUGAAUGAACGUGCUACGAUGUAGGCCAGCCUGUGGUGGCAGCUGUGAUGGAUGCAUCAGAAGAGCUGUGGAGAGGAAUUUACAUCUAGGAAUUUGUGUUUGGCUGUUUGUAACAGAGAACCCAAAUGAUGGCUUAACCAUGUAGUUAUUCAUUCUCUUCACACGGGGAGGGGCGGGGGCGGGUGGCUUCAGAAUUGGGUUUGGUGGUUCAGUGGUGUCAGGCCCUCUUCCUCAUGGUCACAAGAUGGUAGCCAGACUCAGACUAUCAUGUUUAUGUUCCAGGGAAGCAGGAAGGUAAAAAUGUUGAAAGGGAAAGCCAGCCAAGCCUGUCCCCUGCUGAAGGGCUCAGGCCACUCCUGAUGUUUGCAGGGCUCAGGACAAGAAUGCAAAGGGAGACCCAGCUACCAUACGUUUAUCUAUGUAAAAGUUGUAUUUCAAGCCAACAGACUCUUAAAUAACAUAUAUUCAUCUUCCUGCCUUGAUCAACAGACCUUCAGAGAGGCGGGAUCAAGGAUAUAUGUCAAACUAUAAUUUUUAUAUGACUGAGAAUCAACAAGGCACCGAAAAGAAGUGAAUUUAAUUAAG
RNAcentral lists this long non-coding RNA (9983 nucleotides) under Equus caballus (horse). Its description in RNAcentral is "lncRNA (ENSECAG00000038109.3)". The record is from RNAcentral. Lineage: Eukaryota; Metazoa; Chordata; Mammalia; Perissodactyla; Equidae.